Long non-coding RNA from Triticum aestivum (bread wheat), 1408 nucleotides. RefSeq lists it as uncharacterized. NCBI's taxonomy places the organism in Eukaryota, Viridiplantae, Streptophyta, Magnoliopsida, Poales, Poaceae. The record is from RefSeq and is a predicted model, not a curated record. The transcript has 3 exons.
UAUAACAAAUUAUCCAUCUCUUUUAGGGCGGUUUGCUAACUUAUUUUGCAUAACAUUUCUAACCACAUCAAGUGUGCUCUUUGACGAAUCCUAAACAGAUAUAGAUGUACAUCUUGAUUAGGCCACCUAAUCAGUUUACUUUCUAAUACAUUGAAAGUUUUUUGGUCUCUGUUUAUGGUGAAAAAAUGGGUUCUUCACAAUUUAGUUGAUGGUAAAGAAUUAGUUAAGCCGACAUUCCAAUUACUUUACUAGAUUAGUGGUAUUGCACUUAUUUUUCAUAGAAUAUGAAUAUUUACUUUGUUUUUCAUAUCACAUGUUUAAGAUAUUAAGUUCAAUCUUCUUCUGUUGGCACCCAAAAGUUUGUCAAACUAUUUUACUUUUCCUUUAUGCAGCAGAAUGUCCAUCAUCACAGAAUCUUAGCUGAUAGACGGUGCGCUUUUUGGCGGAAGCUGAGACAAAGAUUUCUAUUCACCAAAAAGAUAGAGCCGCCAUCAGCAAGCACUGACGAGUAGCACAGUCUCAGCCGAUGCAUCGACGAGCUGAGGCGGGCUUCCAAUAGAGAUCAGAAACAAGGAAUGGCCUUUUGAGCUGGUAGAGGGAUCACUAGACGUGGUGUUCAUGUUUGUGUUGGCUUACAUGCAGAAAUAAGGAGGAUAGUAAGACUCUUGGAGGUCAUGUCUCUGCCAUUCAAGGAUUUCGAUAUCUGAAUGUUAUGACAAUAUAUAGAUAAGGGAGAUAGCCCUCCGCGUCCUGGUGGCUACUGUAUGCUGCAGCGAAGGGCACACUUCAAUUACUGUGCAGGCAGAUGCGGUGAUCCCGGGUGUGCUUUGAAUAGAUAUCAAGGACGUCAUUACCCGAGCCGUUCCUAUGAUUGAACAUGCGACCAAGGAAUGAAAACUCUUCUCCAGAGAUCUUCAAAAUAGUACAAUAUCAGAUACACAUGCCUGAAUCUGGAUACACUCCACUGCUGAUGGUAAUACUUUCCAGUCACUCACAAACAAUAAGCUUCGGCAUACAAGGCAGAGUCCAAUGCUAUUGGAUUGGGGUGCUGGUAUGCAAUUUCUUGUACAUUUUACUUCUAUAGGACUUCCAAUUACUGGCUACAAACUUUGUACAGGGCAGUCUGAGCUACCACUUGGUGAAGAUGGGAUUCAAUAUGUUCAGUGAUACCCUUUUUUGUGUGUAGGGAAUCACUGAUAUGAUACAACUAUUUGUUAUCUGAAUUUUCGAAUAUAUGUACACCCAUGGUGACGUUUCAAUGCUCAUUUAUAAAGCAUCCAUCUAUGAAUGAAUUUCUGAAUAUUACCACAUGCAAUGUGUAUGUAUGAUGAUAGUAGUACACUUGCGAUGAUGCAAAACACUUAUGAUGAUGUUAUUCAAGUAUUGUACUACAGUUGCAUUCAAGUCA